Molecule: long non-coding RNA, 273 nt
Filed under: Manihot esculenta (cassava)
Lineage: Eukaryota; Viridiplantae; Streptophyta; Magnoliopsida; Malpighiales; Euphorbiaceae
Description: long non-coding RNA (MESC_LNC001584)
Source: RNAcentral
UGCUUAUUUUAUAAAUAAGUACAUUAAACUGACUCGCCUGAAAAAUCCAUAUAGAGAAUAACUUGUGUUUAUGAAUUAUUUAAGUGAUGGUUGUGUAAAUGAUUUUUUUGAUUUGAAAUCAAUAAAUCAUCUUAUAUAGGAACUUCUAUAUUUUGAUUCAUCUUGCAUGUUGUUUGCUUCAUGAGUAAUAAAUGGGGAUGAAUCAGUUAUAGUAGAAACUGUAUGAAGAUAUUUAUGUGAUUGAGAUAGUAUUCAUCAUCUUAGAUUUCUCAG